This 528-nucleotide ribosomal RNA is filed under the name Bifidobacterium breve. Its description in RNAcentral is "bacterial SSU rRNA". It matches the Rfam family "Bacterial small subunit ribosomal RNA", at positions 162 to 700 of the family's 1533-position model. Lineage: Bacteria; Bacillati; Actinomycetota; Actinomycetes; Bifidobacteriales; Bifidobacteriaceae. The record is from RNAcentral.
GGUAAUGCCGGAUGCUCCAUCACACCGCAUGGUGUGUUGGGAAAGCCUUUGCGGCAUGGGAUGGGGUCGCGUCCUAUCAGCUUGAUGGCGGGGUAACGGCCCACCAUGGCUUCGACGGGUAGCCGGCCUGAGAGGGCGACCGGCCACAUUGGGACUGAGAUACGGCCCAGACUCCUACGGGAGGCAGCAGUGGGGAAUAUUGCACAAUGGGCGCAAGCCUGAUGCAGCGACGCCGCGUGAGGGAUGGAGGCCUUCGGGUUGUAAACCUCUUUUGUUAGGGAGCAAGGCACUUUGUGUUGAGUGUACCUUUCGAAUAAGCACCGGCUAACUACGUGCCAGCAGCCGCGGUAAUACGUAGGGUGCAAGCGUUAUCCGGAAUUAUUGGGCGUAAAGGGCUCGUAGGCGGUUCGUCGCGUCCGGUGUGAAAGUCCAUCGCUUAACGGUGGAUCCGCGCCGGGUACGGGCGGGCUUGAGUGCGGUAGGGGAGACUGGAAUUCCCGGUGUAACGGUGGAAUGUGUAGAUAUCGG